RNAcentral lists this ribosomal RNA (301 nucleotides) under uncultured bacterium. RNAcentral's name for it is "partial 16S ribosomal RNA". It matches the Rfam family "Bacterial small subunit ribosomal RNA", at positions 509 to 807 of the family's 1533-position model. The record is from RNAcentral.
CAGCAGCCGCGGUAAUACGAAGGGUGCGAGCGUUACUCGGAAUUACUGGGCGUAAAGCGUGCGUAGGUGGUGGUUUAAGUCCGUUGUGAAAGCCCUGGGCUCAGCCUGGGAAUUGCAGUGGAUACUGGGUCACUAGAGUGUGGUAGAGGAUAGUGGAAUUUCCGGUGUAGCAGUGAAAUGCGUAGAGAUCGGAAGGAACAUCUGUGGCGAAGGCGACUAUCUGGGCCAACACUGACACUGAGGCACGAAAGCGUGGGGAGCAAACAGGAUUAGAGACCCCGGUAGUCCCUGUCUCUUAUAC